Molecule: long non-coding RNA, 766 nt
Filed under: Nicotiana benthamiana
Lineage: Eukaryota; Viridiplantae; Streptophyta; Magnoliopsida; Solanales; Solanaceae
Description: long non-coding RNA (NBEN_LNC029288)
Source: RNAcentral
AAUGCUUUGUAUUGUGCAAAAUAUGUGUUUCCGAAGAAAAAGAUAAACACAAUUAUGCACAAAACAUAUUUUCGAAAAAUAGGUAAGUAUAUAUGUUACAUCCUAUGUACUGCGUGAAAUAUGACAUUCAGCAAGAGAUAAAUAAAGGAGUACAUAUAUUUUAAUAGUGUCCUUUUAAGAAAAAAAAGUUUCCGCAAAAAGAUUCAUUUAGUACAUGUGAAAUACAUCGUAGCUGUCACAUUUAAAGCACAUGGGAGGAGACAGGUCGUGUAUACGUGGAAAAACGUAAAUAAAUAGAAUAAAACAAUAAUAUUAAACAACGGAUACAUGCAAAUUUGUAUAGGAUAUAUCGUAUAUGAUGUGCAACAAAAGUGUUUUGAGUUUUUUUAUAGUAAUAAAUAAUAUUUAAUAAAAGAGAUCUCAUAAUACAAGAGAGGUAACUAAAAAAGAAAGUAUAAUAAUGGAAAAGGGAAAUAUAAAAGGCACAAAGAUCACAAGAGUUAAAAAAUGGAUGGAUACAAAUUCAAUAAAACAUGCAAAUACAAGUUUCAAAAGUAUCCUUUUGGAUUAAAGAUGAGUUCUUAAAGAGAAACUUUCUCUAAUGAAAACUAGCAGAAGGUGAUUAAGAAAGGUAGUGUAUCAAUGGGAAAAGAAAAUUGAGAAAAAUAAAGACAACAUGUUAUGAAAUAGAAGAUUCUUACAUUUCUAUUUAAGGUGAAUGCCUUUAAUGUAUUUAAUUAGAGAGAUUUUAGAGUCCUAUUAUUGG